Small nuclear RNA from Physeter macrocephalus (sperm whale), 105 nucleotides. Lineage: Eukaryota; Metazoa; Chordata; Mammalia; Artiodactyla; Physeteridae. The record is from Ensembl.
GCUUGUUUCGGCAGCACGUAUACUAAGAGCGGGACGAUACAGGGAAGAUUAGCGCGGCCCCUGCGCGAGCAUGACACGCAAAUUCGUGAAGCGUUCCAUGUUUUU